GAUGAACGCUGGCGGCGUGCCUAAUACAUGCAAGUCGAGCGAACAGACGAGGAGCUUGCUCCUCUGACGUUAGCGGCGGACGGGUGAGUAACACGUGGAUAACCUACCUAUAAGACUGGGAUAACUUCGGGAAACCGGAGCUAAUACCGGAUAAUAUAUUGAACCGCAUGGUUCAAUAGUGAAAGACGGUUUUGCUGUCACUUAUAGAUGGAUCCGCGCCGCAUUAGCUAGUUGGUAAGGUAACGGCUUACCAAGGCAACGAUGCGUAGCCGACCUGAGAGGGUGAUCGGCCACACUGGAACUGAGACACGGUCCAGACUUCUACGGGAGGCAGCAGUAGGGAAUCUUCCGCAAUGGGCGAAAGCCUGACGGAGCAACGCCGCGUGAGUGAUGAAGGUCUUCGGAUCGUAAAACUCUGUUAUUAGGGAAGAACAAAUGUGUAAGUAACUAUGCACGUCUUGACGGUACCUAAUCAGAAAGCCACGGCUAACUACGU
This 496-nucleotide ribosomal RNA is filed under the name uncultured bacterium. RNAcentral's name for it is "partial 16S ribosomal RNA". It matches the Rfam family "Bacterial small subunit ribosomal RNA", at positions 28 to 506 of the family's 1533-position model. The record is from RNAcentral.